GUCUCUCACCAUCGCUUCCCCUGCUUCUCGUGGAGAGCUUGAUUGGCCUCGUGAACAGGAUCAGGAGGGCCCAUACGGUCCUCACCGACUACGGUGGCGACAACGCCCUGCUAACUCAUUAGGAAGCCCUUCUGUUCGUCACUGUCGUCGGUGGACAGAAUUCUGGAAAACCAUCGGUUUUGGAGAGCAUCGUCGGGCGGGAUUUUCUUCCUAGGGGAUCUGGUUGGGGUUCUAAAUUUUUUAUUCUUUUGAUUUUAUUUUUUAUUUUUUUGAGUUUUUUCUAUGGUGGAUCUUAUGGUAUUCUUGAAGGGAUUGUCAUAUGUCAGUCAUUGGUUCUACAGCUACACAAGACGGACAAAGGACAGAUGAAGCAUGUUGAGUUUCUUCACUUGCCAAAGAGGAGAUUUUCAGGUUUUGGUAAAUGUUAUUUUUCCAUUGCUUCGUAGAUUCGAUGUUUGAUUUAUGGGUCUCUUUUGCCCCGGCAUCUCCCCUACAUUUUCGCUGCUUCUUAAUUUUAUUUUCAUCUUGAAUUCUCUCAAUUCUGACUCGACGAGUACACGCAUACAGCAACAAACAUCUUCAAGUAGGCAGAGGAACUGCAAAGGUGAAAUAAUUACUCUCUACUGCCGUUGAUCCGGAUCAUUUUUUAUGAAAUAAGGAAACUUCGAAGAACAUAUUAGAAAUUGGAUAUCCAAGAGAUGACACUGGAUAUGAAAAUUCACCUCAAUCAGAGUAUAUUGACCUCCCCCAGUACAGGCGAGCAACAUGUGUGUUCGCAGCAACCAUUACUCACCAACAGCUUUGAUUCUGUUCACUCAUCAUUACCUCCUAGCUUUGCCACACUACUGACAAGCUGUUCAACAGAAAAUUUCAAAGAGGCACCCGAACCAAUGGAAACAGAAUUCAUGUCCCAAAUCAUUGGAUAUGGACUGCAAAGACGAUCAGCCCAACAGUGCCAUCUAUGUUCAACAAGCUAAUGCAUGAAGUGGCUUGAUGAGAGGUUUACCAGUUCGGUCUUCUCCAUUUCAUUCGACAGUGUGGCCAAUCUAGGAGUGGACCACAUGAAAGAAUUUUUUUUUAUUUUUUUAAAAUGUAUUCAAGACCAUUUUCAACGUAUUGUUGUAAAUAUUAUAUAUUUUAUUGUAAAGUAAUACAAAUUUUGUUUAAUAUUCAUUUUUAAUUGUACCCUAA
RNA transcript from Magnolia sinica, 1191 nucleotides. RefSeq lists it as uncharacterized. The record is from RefSeq and is a predicted model, not a curated record. Lineage: Eukaryota; Viridiplantae; Streptophyta; Magnoliopsida; Magnoliales; Magnoliaceae. The transcript has 5 exons.